RNAcentral lists this non-coding RNA (170 nucleotides) under Myxococcales bacterium. Its description in RNAcentral is "6S RNA". It matches the Rfam family "6S / SsrS RNA". From Rfam's summary of the family: E. coli 6S RNA was the first non coding RNA to be sequenced, but its function was unknown until recently. It consists of 184 nucleotides that fold into an extended hairpin structure with a large single-stranded internal bulge. Lineage: Bacteria; Pseudomonadati; Myxococcota; Myxococcia; Myxococcales. The record is from RNAcentral.
AGCGGGCUGCUCGGAGGGGGCCAAAAAGUUCAUCCUACAUCUGUUCAACCAGGGAACCGCCACUGACCGCAGGAGCGCAGGCUCGUCCGACGAGAAGCCCGAAGCGAUCACCGUAGUGCCCACCUACCGAAGUGUGGGGGUUGAACUUCCGGCCGCCGAACAGCCCGCUC